AUUAAAACAAAGACCCAUAAGAGGUAGACCAGCGCGCGGCGGAAAGUCUUGUCGCUUGCUUUUGUUGGACACCCGACGGGUUGGGAGAUGGAGGUGCAAGGAGUUUCUCCGUGCCCGUCGGAGCCCAUCCCCCACGCGCGGGGGUCAGGAGGCUGCCAGCCGCCGCCGCAGCAGGAUGGGCAGGCAGGGGAAAGCGCCGGCGACAGCGCUCAGCUGCCGGAGAAGAGGAAAAGCGACGAGAAGGAGGACAAAAAGAGAUUCCCAUUGAAAUCCUUUGCAGCUCAUUGACAAUGGCAAAUUGUUGAAGGACUACUAACCUGAAAUAUCUUCCAAAAAAAUAUUGACAUUUAGCUUUCUGACCUAAGAGGGGAAAAUGCACUCCAGAUAACUUUCAGAUGUUGUAGCCGACAUGCAAGUGGACAGCUCUUUCCAAAUUAAUUGGAUUAUUUACUUACUUACUUACUUAUGUGAUGCAAACUAUUUUGUCGUUAAAGUUCCAUUAAAAUUAUUAUACAUUUGUAAAUUUAAAAUCUUUUUAGAGUGCCUGAUUCACCAUGGAAGUAAAUCAUCUGUCUUGAACUCUGAAUUAAAAUUAAAAAUGAGAUUAUU
Long non-coding RNA from Candoia aspera, 609 nucleotides. RefSeq lists it as uncharacterized. Lineage: Eukaryota; Metazoa; Chordata; Lepidosauria; Squamata; Candoiidae. The record is from RefSeq and is a predicted model, not a curated record. The transcript has 3 exons.